UACGUAGGGUGCGAGCGUUAAUCGGAAUUACUGGGCGUAAAGCGUGCGCAGGCGGUUCGUUGUGUCGGUGGUGAAAGCCCCGGGCUUAACCUGGGAAUGGCCAUGGAAACUGGCGGACUGGAGUGUGGCAGAGGGGGGUGGAAUUCCGCGUGUAGCAGUGAAAUGCGUAGAGAUGCGGAGGAACACCGAUGGCGAAGGCAGCCCCUUGGGCUAACACUGACGCUCAGGCACGAAAGCGUGGGGAGCAAACAGG
This 253-nucleotide ribosomal RNA is filed under the name uncultured bacterium. Its description in RNAcentral is "partial 16S ribosomal RNA". It matches the Rfam family "Bacterial small subunit ribosomal RNA", at positions 524 to 776 of the family's 1533-position model. The record is from RNAcentral.